AGUGGCGGACGGGUGAGUAACACGUGGGAACGUGCCUUUAGGUUCGGAAUAACUCAGGGAAACUUGUGCUAAUACCGAAUGUGCCCUUCGGGGGAAAGAUUUAUCGCCUUUAGAGCGGCCCGCGUCUGAUUAGCUAGUUGGUGGGGUAAUGGCCCACCAAGGCUACGAUCAGUAGCUGGUCUGAGAGGAUGACCAGCCACAUUGGGACUGAGACACGGCCCAAACUCCUACGGGAGGCAGCAGUGGGGAAUCUUGCGCAAUGGGCGAAAGCCUGACGCAGCCAUGCCGCGUGUAUGAUGAAGGUCUUAGGAUUGUAAAAUACUUUCACCGGUGAAGAUAAUGACUGUAGCCGGAGAAGAAGCCCCGGCUAACUUCGUGCCAGCAGCCGCGGUAAUACGAAGGGGGCUAGCGUUGCUCGGAAUUACUGGGCGUAAAGGGAGCGUAGGCGGACAUUUAAGUCAGAGGUGAAAUCCCGGAGCUUAACUUCGGAACUGCCUUUGAUACUGGGUGUCUUGAGUGUGAGAGAGGUAUGUGGAACUCCGAGUGUAGAGGUGAAAUUCGUAGAUAUUCGGAAGAACACCAGUGGCGAAGGCGACAUACUGGCUCAUUACUGACGCUGACGCUCGAAAGCGUGGGGAGCAAACAGGAUUAGAUACCCUGGUAGUCCACGCCGUAAACGAUGAUUGCUAGUUGU
This 694-nucleotide ribosomal RNA is filed under the name Brevundimonas sp. PE-R2A-47. RNAcentral describes it as "bacterial SSU rRNA". It matches the Rfam family "Bacterial small subunit ribosomal RNA", at positions 94 to 823 of the family's 1533-position model. Lineage: Bacteria; Pseudomonadati; Pseudomonadota; Alphaproteobacteria; Caulobacterales; Caulobacteraceae. The record is from RNAcentral.